UGUGGCAGAUUAGUGCAGUAAAUUUAAGAUUUUCAUAAAAAGCAAGCCUUUCUUUAGAA
RNAcentral lists this transfer RNA (59 nucleotides) under Ponyalis laticornis. Its description in RNAcentral is "tRNA-Leu". Lineage: Eukaryota; Metazoa; Arthropoda; Insecta; Coleoptera; Lycidae. The record is from RNAcentral.